Long non-coding RNA from Cannabis sativa, 928 nucleotides. RefSeq lists it as uncharacterized. The record is from RefSeq and is a predicted model, not a curated record. The transcript is spliced from 2 exons. NCBI's taxonomy places the organism in Eukaryota, Viridiplantae, Streptophyta, Magnoliopsida, Rosales, Cannabaceae.
CAAAUACCUUUCCUUCUAAAAUACUUGCAGAUGUUCUUUUUAGAAGAUGAGUGGACUCAUCUGAUGAACAUGAAGAUAAUGUGUCAUGUAAUAGUAAUUGCUCCUCUUCUAUUCUUCUUCUUCUUCUUCAUGGGUCUCUUUCUUUUCUUUUGUUUUUUUUCAAAAUCCAUACACUUAUCAUCUUUUUUCUCACUAUCUUCCUCCUUAAGUUCUCUUAUUUUCUCCAUUAACAUGUAAAUUUUUUAUUUUAUUUCUUCUUCUUCUUCUUCUUCUUCUUCUUCUUCUUCUUCUUCUUCUUCUUCUUCUUCUUCUUCUUCUCAUUGUUUUAGUUUUUUUAAUUUUUAGUCACACUUUUAGGGGGAAAUAAAAGAGUGGUUUUUUUAUUUUGAUUUUCUAGAUAUGUUCUUGCAAAUAUAGGUUCUGGUACUUCAAAGAACACUAAAUCAAAAAAUACCCUCAAUCUGUGUUGGAGAACUCCGACUCUAAUUUUGAGUUUGAGCCAAAGUUCCAAAGUCUCACAAAUCUGAUAAGGAAAAGGGUAAAUACCAAGUGAAGAUUGUUCAAUCAACUGAUCUGUUUGAAGACAUAAUUAGGAAAAGGGUUGUUGAGGUGUGUCAUUUCAUUAUUUUAGUUUUAAUGUUUUUUUAUGCUUGUUUUUUAUGUUCUUUAUUUUUUUUUUUUUUGUUGUUUUAGUAGUGUUUUCUUAUGUUUUUUUAUAGGAUUGGGAAUCCAAGUAUACCCGAUCGGAAUACUACCAUUCCAGAGUUUUUUUAUGCUUGUUUUUUAUGUUCUUUAUUUAAUUUUUUUUUUUUUGUGUUGUUUUAGUAGUGUUUUCUUUUUUUUUUUUAUAGGAUUGUCACAUUCUCUUGAAAUAAUUUUUUCCCAUUGUCCAUUGCCCUUUAUGAGAACUGGUAUAGAUUUCAUGUCA